RNAcentral lists this ribosomal RNA (253 nucleotides) under uncultured bacterium. Its description in RNAcentral is "partial 16S ribosomal RNA". It matches the Rfam family "Bacterial small subunit ribosomal RNA", at positions 524 to 776 of the family's 1533-position model. The record is from RNAcentral.
UACAGAGGGGGCAAGCGUUGUUCGGAAUUACUGGGCGUAAAGGGCGCGUAGGCGGCCUUCUAAGUCGAACGUGAAAUCCCCGGGCUCAACCCGGGAACUGCGUCCGAUACUGGAAGGCUUGAAUCCGGGAGAGGGAUGUGGAAUUCCAGGUGUAGCGGUGAAAUGCGUAGAUAUCUGGAGGAACACCGGUGGCGAAGGCGGCAUCCUGGACCGAUAUUGACGCUGAUGCGCGAAAGCCAGGGGAGCAAACGGG